This 2308-nucleotide long non-coding RNA is filed under the name Homo sapiens (human). RNAcentral's name for it is "HSALNT0324147". Lineage: Eukaryota; Metazoa; Chordata; Mammalia; Primates; Hominidae. The record is from RNAcentral.
AUCCAGGCUCCCCUAUUCCAGCACAGCCUCCAUUUCCUCAGGUGUCUCGUAAGUUCACCCCCAACCUCUGAAGAGCUCCACCCCUCCUCACAGGGCAAGCUCACUCCUCGGUUCUUCUUCCCUUCCAGGGCUUCCAUUCUUAUCCCGAGUUUCCAGCUUCAGCCAGGUGCCCAGGGAUGCUUGCUAUGGCCGGAUCCAAAGGCCAAGGCAAGAGGAAACAACGCAGCUCUCUGGGGAUAAGGGUGGGCGGCAUCUCCCAGUCGGGUUUCCUUUUCAGCAUCUGCCGGGAGGGCUGCAGGCCGGCUGGGUAUUUUCAUAGCUGAUCUACUCAAACAAACACAUCUCCUAAAGACAAAUGUUGGUUAUGUUCUCUGAAGACACUACAGUUUAAAUCCACAUUGGGGAACUCCCCCACUAGCCAGGCACCUGUUCUGCCCUUGAAGUCGGCGGGUCCCCAUCCCUGGGCAGAGGAGCUUUUGGUUUCUGACGUUGUCCUCCUGAGGCUGCUGGAAUCACAGAAAGACCUCAUUCCCCUUUAAUGUCAGCUUUCCCAUCCCCUGCGUGUGGUCUCAAGACCUUGGAGCUCUUUCUUAUAACAGGUGGGUGGGGGCGGGGGGCAGGGGAGGGGUGACAGUUUCUUCUGUCAUAUAAACAUAAAAACUUCAGCAACAGUGUCUGAUUGUGUCAAAGCUGAGACCCAGAUAUGCUGGAAUGUGGAGACAGAGACAGUCCUGGUGUGCUGGUGUGGGGGAGCUUAAGGGACAUCAGACCAGCUGCUGAACCACACCCUUCAUUUGCCAAAAGCUCCAUGGGGAGAAACGGGGAUCCUGUCGAAAGCUUGCACAUAUUCUGACACAUGCAGAUAUGUCUUAUGGGCUUAGCAGGCCUGGACAGAGGCAGGGAUUGAGCACGAGGUUGGCGAAUGUCUGACUCCCCACAGGCGAAGAAGGAAGAAGGCUGAAGGAGCCACGCUCACAGCAGGACAGGAAGGCUGUGGGUGUCUGGAAAGCUGUGGGUGAUGUGCCUUGAUUGCCCCCGUGGUGGAGCCCAGCACUCCAGGAGGGAGAAUACUUGUAAAGAAUUAAAUUAGAAUGAUUUGCCUGGGAGGUGGAGUCAGCAGCAUAAGGAGACUGCUAAAAGGGCGAGAGCAGAGCGUAGUGAGAAGUUUCUAUACAGGCUGGAGAUCCCUGGAAGCUAGUGGUGGUGGAGUGAGAGAGGAGAGAACAGACACGUCAAAGGCCAGGGGCCGUCGCUGGUGGCUGGACUAGGUGAGCAGCUCAGUGUUAGGGGGGCAGGUGGCCUCCGUGGGAGAAGCUGAGGGCAGCAGGAUGACCAGGGCCACAGGAAGCAGCUGGGUUAUUUGCAGACAGCUCCCACCUGGGCUGCAUCCAUCACCCACGCACUAUCUUAUCCUCAGAGACGCAGGCCAAAAACGAUGGCUUCUUUUCAGUGGCUACAUUUUGAAUCAGGUGAUGCUUGAUAAAAAUGAAACAUCCUGCUCUUCUUCACCCGACCUGCCUUUUCACCUACCCAAACAAACAAAAGCAAAAAUAAAACAAGACAAUAAUAGCAAUGAGGCAGAGGAAAGACCGAGUCCCAUCCUACAAGAAGGGAGGCCUCCGUCUCCCCACAGCCACUCCUAUCACCCCAGAUCAUCACUGCCUGAAUGCUGCCUUUACCAUCUCAGCCCAAGACACUGUGUUCUUGACAUUUUAAUCAUUGGCAUCAUUAUGUCAUUUCUUUGGCAAUCGAAAGCAAUGUUCCUGCUCCUGUGUGGGUUUGAACAAACAGCCCAAGGGGAGAAAUAAUGAAUUCUCAAAGGAAAAAAAGUCUGUUUCUCAUCUCAAGCACCUGGAAGGCUAAGGCGGGAGGAUUGCUUGAGGUCAGGAGUCCGAGGCUGCAGUGAGCUAUGUUCACACCACUGCACUCCAGCCUGGGUGACACAGUGAGACCCUGUCUCAAAAAAAAAAAUCCUGUAAGCAAUGAGACACACAAGGAGUAAUCAGCACACAGAGCCUUAGCACACACUCCAGCCUGCACACUCUGCAACGUUCUGCUCUUACCUCAGUGUCACAAGGUGUGGCUUGAGCAGCUCUUGCCCAGACAGAUAAAAAGCAGGUGUAACAUAGUGACCCCAAGGGACCCAAGGGUGCCCAUGGUUUGCAAGAGAGGAAAGAACAGAGAGAGCCUGAACAUUCCCAGAAUUGCAUUGCUCACUAGCCAAGCUGUGGCUUCCUUGACACAUGUAGCUGGCAUGGGCUCCGCCCACAAGCAGGCCUGGCUGAGCAGAAGGCAGCUUCCAGGAACU